AAUCGUACCCCAAACCGACACAGGUGGUCAGGUAGAGAAUACCAAGGCGCUUGAGAGAACUCGGGUGAAGGAACUAGGCAAAAUGGUGCCGUAACUUCGGGAGAAGGCACGCUGAUAUGUAGGUGAAGUGAUUUACCCAUGGAGCUGAAAUCAGUCGAAGAUACCAGCUGGCUGCAACUGUUUAUUAAAAACACAGCACUGUGCAAACACGAAAGUGGACGUAUACGGUGUGACGCCUGCCCGGUGCCGGAAGGUUAAUUGAUGGGGUUAUCCGUAAGGAGAAGCUCUUGAUCGAAGCCCCGGUAAACGGCGGCCGUAACUAUAACGGUCCUAAGGUAGCGAAAUUCCUUGUCGGGUAAGUUCCGACCUGCACGAAUGGCGUAAUGAUGGCCAGGCUGUCUCCACCCGAGACUCAGUGAAAUUGAACUCGCUGUGAAGAUGCAGUGUACCCGCGGCAAGACGGAAAGACCCCGUGAACCUUUACUAUAGCUUGACACUGAACACUGAGCCUUGAUGUGUAGGAUAGGUGGGAGGCUUUGAAGCGUGGACGCCAGUCUGCGUGGAGCCAACCUUGAAAUACCACCCUUUAAUGGCUGGUGUUCUAACGUAGACCCGUAAUCCGGGUUGCGGACAGUGUCUGGUGGGUAGUUUGACUGGGGCGGUCUCCUCCUAAAGAGUAACGGAGGAGCACGAAGGUUAGCUAAUCCUGGUCGGACAUCAGGAGGUUAGUGCAAAGGCAUAAGCUAGCUUGACUGCGAGAGUGACGGCUCGAGCAGGUGCGAAAGCAGGUCUUAGUGAUCCGGUGGUUCUGAAUGGAAGGGCCAUCGCUCAACGGAUAAAAGGUACUCCGGGGAUAACAGGCUGAUACCGCCCAAGAGUUCAUAUCGACGGCGGUGUUUGGCACCUCGAUGUCGGCUCAUCACAUCCUGGGGCUGAAGUAGGUCCCAAGGGUAUGGCUGUUCGCCAUUUAAAGUGGUACGCGAGCUGGGUUUAGAACGUCGUGAGACAGUUCGGUCCCUAUCUGCCGUGGGCGCUGGAGAAUUGAGGGGGGCUGCUCCUAGUACGAGAGGACCGGAGUGGACGCAUCACUGGUGUUCGGGUUGUCAUGCCAAUGGCAUUGCCCGGUAGCUAAAUGCGGAAAAGAUAAGUGCUGAAAGCAUCUAAGCACGAAACUUGCCCCGAGAUGAGUUCUCCCUGAGACUUUAAGUCUCCUGAAGGAACGUUAAAGACUAUGACGUUGAUAGGUCGGGUGUGUAAGUGUAGCGAUACAUUGAGCUAACCGAUACUAAUGAACCGUGAGGCUUAACC
Molecule: ribosomal RNA, 1308 nt
Filed under: Citrobacter freundii MGH 56
Lineage: Bacteria; Pseudomonadati; Pseudomonadota; Gammaproteobacteria; Enterobacterales; Enterobacteriaceae
Description: bacterial LSU rRNA
Rfam family: Bacterial large subunit ribosomal RNA
Source: RNAcentral